Pelobates cultripes (western spadefoot toad) is the source of this 562-nucleotide non-coding RNA. Lineage: Eukaryota; Metazoa; Chordata; Amphibia; Anura; Pelobatidae. The record is from the annotation of a GenBank genome assembly.
GUUUAAAUCAUUUGAAAAACGUAUCCAAACAAUAUUAAAUCAAGGCCUACGUAAGUACAAAGAAAUAAUGUUAUAAAAUGUUUUGUUUCCAAAAUCAUCUUCAUCUUCCCAGGAUGCAGUGUGGAUAUGAGUGGAUCCCAGUGAAUUCAGGGUGGUGUGGCCAAAUCCUAUUUGCAAUGGUAUAUAUAACGGUAGACAACAUACAAGAUUCACUCAUUCACUAAACAGCAAUUUCGAGUCUGACAGAUUGUAAUAGUUUUAUUUAGAAACAUCUCACCUAGGCAAAAAGUAUGGGGGUUUAGUUACAUUAUAUGAUCAUAUAUUGCAUACGCAUUCCACAACAUCAAUGUACCCCAUUUUUGGCAGGUCCUACUCUAGCAACUUAUUGCCGCCUCUUAUGAGAUGAAUCCAUGCAAUGUCUGAAUGUAUGAUGGUAUACUGUAACAAAUUAUUUUUUGCCUAGGUGAGGUGUUUAAACCCCCCCCCCAAAAAACUAUUACAUUUUGUUAGACUUGAAAUCGCUGUUUAGUGAAUGAAUGAGUGCGCAGGAUUUUGUAUGUUG